RNAcentral lists this ribosomal RNA (480 nucleotides) under uncultured bacterium. RNAcentral's name for it is "partial 16S ribosomal RNA". It matches the Rfam family "Bacterial small subunit ribosomal RNA", at positions 30 to 523 of the family's 1533-position model. The record is from RNAcentral.
AUUGAACGCUGGCGGCAGGCUUAACACAUGCAAGUCGAGCGAGUGAAUCUCCUUCGGGAGUGAAGCUAGCGGCGGACGGGUGAGUAACACGUGGGCAACCUGCCUCAUAGAGGGGAAUAGCCUGUCGAAAGGAAGAUUAAUACCGCAUAAGAUUGUAGCUUCGCAUGAAGUAGCAAUUAAAGGAGCAAUCCGCUAUGAGAUGGGCCCGCGGCGCAUUAGCUAGUUGGUGAGGUAACGGCUCACCAAGGCGACGAUGCGUAGCCGACCUGAGAGGGUGAUCGGCCACAUUGGGACUGAGACACGGCCCAGACUCCUACGGGAGGCAGCAGUGGGGAAUAUUGCACAAUGGGGGAAACCUUGAUGCAGCAACGCCGCGUGAGUGAUGACGGCCUUCGGGUUGUAAAGCUCUGUCUUCAGGGACGAUAAUGACGGUACCUGAGGAGGAAGCCACGGCUAACUACGUGCCAGCCGCCGCCGUAA